This 91-nucleotide transfer RNA is filed under the name Phaeodactylibacter xiamenensis. RNAcentral describes it as "tRNA-Ser". It matches the Rfam family "tRNA". From Rfam's summary of the family: Transfer RNA (tRNA) molecules are approximately 80 nucleotides in length. The record is from RNAcentral. Lineage: Bacteria; Pseudomonadati; Bacteroidota; Saprospiria; Saprospirales; Haliscomenobacteraceae.
GGAGAGGUGCUCGAGUGGCUGAAGAGGCACGCCUGGAAAGCGUGUAUACUGUAACCCAGUAUCGAGGGUUCGAAUCCCUCUCUCUCCGCAA